UACAGAGGCCUCGAGCGUUAGGCGGAAUCACUGGGCUUAAAGCGUGUGUAGGCGGACUUCUAAGUACCUUGUGAAAUCCCACGGCUCACCCGUGGAACUGCUCGGUAUACUGGUCGUCUUGAGCCUUCUAGGGGCGAGUGGAACAAAUGGUGGAGCGGUGAAAUGCGUAGAUAUCAUUUGGAACGCCAAUGGUGAAAACAACUCGCUGGGUAAGUGCUGACGCUGAGACACGAAAGCCAGGGGAGCGAACGGG
This 253-nucleotide ribosomal RNA is filed under the name uncultured bacterium. RNAcentral describes it as "partial 16S ribosomal RNA". It matches the Rfam family "Bacterial small subunit ribosomal RNA", at positions 524 to 776 of the family's 1533-position model. The record is from RNAcentral.